Long non-coding RNA from Phyllopteryx taeniolatus (common seadragon), 3677 nucleotides. RefSeq lists it as uncharacterized. NCBI's taxonomy places the organism in Eukaryota, Metazoa, Chordata, Actinopteri, Syngnathiformes, Syngnathidae. The transcript is spliced from 6 exons. The record is from RefSeq and is a predicted model, not a curated record.
CCGGGUGCUCUCAGGUGCUCGCGCUGCUUCGUCAGAGUGUCGCUUUCCUCCUCGAAGGUAAGUGGACGUAAUCGCCCUGGCUCCAUCCUAAUAAAGCUCCGUGUUAUUUAUAGUGCUUUUGUUGAUAGUAAAUGGUCAAGUCUGUGUCGGUCGGCUAAGCGUCUAGCUAUGAGCAGUAGCAAUUUAAAGGGUUUUAUAUGUGUAUUUGUCAUGCUAAUGGUACGAGUCUUCCGGAGAACUCUUAGGACGCUUUCGACUUUGAAGUUCAUACUGCACUGUUUGUUAACGUGGCCGCUGGAAAGCCGUCUGUCUAAAACAGUGGCAUGUCCACAGUAUGUCUGUGUCCUAACUUGCUGUGGGGCUCCCAACACGAGCACAAACCAUCGCCCAGGUGUGAGAAGACGACCUCUUGCUGACCCCUCAAUCCAACUCUUGUCGCUGCUCUAUCUUUUGUCUCUGCCUUCCUUCUAUCUUUCACCUCUCAAGAUGUAUAUAAAAAAAAAAAAAAAAAAAAAAAAAGGGGGGGGGGGGGGGGCAAGAGAUGUCAGGCUCGCAAAGUUGAACUGGGAGAAGCGUGCUCAAAACCACUCCCGGGCACCUGUUGCAUCCUCUGGUGAUUUCUAUGCCACUGCCGCGCACUUCGGUGCGCGCAAUUUGCCCGCCGCAGUUGCAAGCAACGAUUUCCGUGCCUUUGCGCCAUUUGAAAGCAAGGAUUUCCGUGGCGCGGCUGCCGCACGCCUCGAGAACUGCGCCAGUGUCGGGGUCCCGAUUUCCUCGCCCCGUCUUCGGAGAGCCGCACCUGUCGGAGACCCGAUGACUGACGAGCCUGUCGAGGGAAAAGCUCUGCUGCGACACGAUCGGGUGACGAAGUUGCAUCACUCGACCGGCGCUGAUCGAGAUCUCGUUCGUGUACUUUGGCUGUUUUGAAGGCCCGAGGACGAUGCACGGACAGUCGUUUGGCAACGGAUGAAAUUCCGGCGAUUGUUCGUGGUUUGGGAAAAAAAAAAAAACAGACGUGUAAAUAAACGUGUCAAUCGACGUAUGCUUGUUGUACUGCUUCAUUUGAGUCCCAGAACCUCCGCAACAGACUCGAGUGCUUGAUUUCAGAGGGAAAUUUUGCAAGUUCUUGUCACCGGUCCAAUUGUACAUCGCUGUUUUCCGAGACCACCGAGGAAGGUACGGCUUUUCGGAUCCCCGCUGCGGAGGACGCGACGGGCUUCCUGUUCCCCGUGGUGCGGCUGUCCUGUUUCUUUUCACAGCUUUAAAUGAUCUGAUUGAUAAGGUGAUAGAGCUUCUCACAAGUUUGGGUACAAGUCCCUCUGCCCGGUGUGAGCUGCUGCUGCCGCCGCCGCCGCCGCCGCUUUGUUUUGGACCCGUUGCUGUCCCUGCCCAUGACCACGAGAUGGCGCCACGUGCACCGCUUGCUCCGGGAGCGGCGGACGACGAUCACGCCGAGAUGACGAGGGCGUCCGUAUCCGCGUCGCCGAGGAAACGAGGGCUUGCCGACGGCAUAUGAAGCAGUGCUCUCGCAGCGUGCUAUUUGUAUAAACGAGUGACAACGCUUUGAAAACGAGUUCCCCUCUCUCACUCCUUUGAGGGCGAAACGCAGGAGUCCGUUGAAGUGCGGACCCGAAGCGCGUGAAUCGGAAGCGAUGCGCUGAGCCGAUGUCGCGUCGACGUGCGGAAUUGUGCACGUCGAGCGAAAGGCAAACGUGUUUUGGCGCCGCUGAUUGACACGGGCUUUUGUCCUAAGAAGAACGGGGAAACAGGCAGUCGUCAAAGACCGCAAAUUCUCACAGCACAAAAACCCAGAGGAAUUUUUACGGGGCAUCGCUCGAGCUGCGCCUGCCUCAUCGCGCUGGCUGUCAGCCGAAAUCCCGACGCUUUCCAACGUACCGGAGGCUCCGCGAUCACGCUCGUUUACGGUUAGCGGACGCUGAAUACCUCGAGGCCGGGGCCGACGUUGUCGACGGGAACGAAGAGAAGUACGAGAGGCGCAGAAAAGACCUUGGCAGUGCCGUGCGAGAGGUGGAGGAAGGUGGAAUAAUCCUAAAACGAACGGUGCCGCCCGGCUCCUGAGAGGGAAUUUACAAAGACUGGAAAGCAUGGAGGAAAUCGACGGGAGAGAUGAAGCCGACGACAACGGGCAGGAAAAGGGACCGGACCGGACGACGACGACGACUGGUCCGAAGCCACGGAAACGUCAACCGUGAGAGAAGCCGCCGGCGUCGGUGUUCCGCCGCGUGUAUCGGAACCUCGAGCGAAAGCAAAGCGUGCGUCUUUCGCGAGGUCGGAGGUCGGAGGUCGGUGCGCACGACGCGCGUGUAACUUAACGCCACGGCCUUUCUUCUGUGACGCCGACGGUGGCGCUGGGACCGGAAGGUCUCGUCCGGUCGAAUGAACCCACGCAGGGGCUACUAAAAUCCUCCGCAGAGCGCCGCGACCGGCUGAGGGAGCAGACGUUUCCAAAGAGACGGACGGUUCUUCCCGCAGCCUUCGCCGGCACGGGAGCCUUCGACAUUUUCCGGAUCGACCGCGCAUCGGCGACUCGAGCUGCCGAGAAGCCUCGAACCGCCGUACCUCGGCCCGGGCGAUGAACUGGACGGAGUCGGAGCAGAGCUGUCAAUUGCUGAAAUGCUCAUUAUUGAGGAGAUUUCCGUGGCGCCCAAAGAUCUCUUUGCAUAUGUGGGCGCAAGAUUGAAGCAAAUCCAAGGAACGAAUUCACCUUUUGGUGGAACGUCUGUUCUCGCUGUCGGAGAGGUCUAUCAGCUGGCGCCUGUGAGACGGCGCCAACCUUGGUGUGCGUACGACCCGACCCGACCCGACAACUUUGAAAUGAUCACAUGGACUGAAAUCACGAGGCAGAAAGAUGGCGUCCCUUUUGCUGAACUGCCGAACCGACUCCGCGUCAAAGGAACGUCCGAUGAGCUGCCAGAACGAGACGGAGCUCGGCUUGCCGCAGCUUUCGCCCUCCCGGGACCGUGCCCGAAGGACACGCCGCACAUCUAUGCCACAAAUAAACCAGCGGAUAGCCAUAACUCUGAAAUGUUGAACCUGCUUCACCAGGGCAUUGUGACAAUGAAAGAAAAAGAAAGCUUCCGUUUCCCAGGAUCCCCUGAACGCACCGCCGGGUGCUCUCAGGUGCUCGCGCUGCUUCGUCAGAGUGUCGCUUUCCUCCUCGAAGGUAAGUGGACGUAAUCGCCCUGGCUCCAUCCUAAUAAAGCUCCGUGUUAUUUAUAGUGCUUUUGUUGAUAGUAAAUGGUCAAGUCUGUGUCGGUCGGCUAAGCGUCUAGCUAUGAGCAGUAGCAAUUUAAAGGGUUUUAUAUGUGUAUUUGUCAUGCUAAUGGUACGAGUCUUCCGGAGAACUCUUAGGACGCUUUCGACUUUGAAGUUCAUACUGCACUGUUUGUUAACGUGGCCGCUGGAAAGCCGUCUGUCUAAAACAGUGGCAUGUCCACAGUAUGUCUGUGUCCUAACUUGCUGUGGGGCUCCCAACACGAGCACAAACCAUCGCCCAGGUGUGAGGCCCGGGGGCCAGAUCUGGCCUGCCACGUCACUUUCUGUCGGCCAUAAGAGCACUCGUAUCAUACCAGCCAUGCAGCGUGUUCAACCAGCUCACACUCCGGACUACAACAAAGUCGUCACGUUCUCACUUUUCAUUGUCAUGAUUAUUUAAG